RNAcentral lists this unclassified non-coding RNA (337 nucleotides) under soil metagenome. RNAcentral describes it as "partial contains 5.8S ribosomal RNA, internal transcribed spacer 2, and large subunit ribosomal RNA". The stretch from base 1 to 120 matches the Rfam family "5.8S ribosomal RNA", at positions 35 to 154 of the family's 154-position model. The record is from RNAcentral.
GAUGAAGAACGCAGCGAAAUGCGAUAAGUAGUGUGAAUUGCAGAAUUCAGUGAAUCAUCGAAUCUUUGAACGCACAUUGCGCCCCUUGGUAUUCCAUGGGGCAUGCCUGUUCGAGCGUCAUUUGUACCCUCAAGCUUUGCUUGGUGUUGGGUGUUUGUCCCGCGUUGCGCGUGGACUCGCCUUAAAGCGAUUGGCAGCCGGCAUAUUGGCCUUGGAGCGCAGCACAUUUUGCGCUUCUAGUCAUGAAUGUUGGCGUCCAUUAAGCCUAUACAUUUGCUCUUGACCUCGCAUCAGGUAGGGAUACCCGCUGAACUUAAGCAUAUCAAUAAGCGGAGGA